AUAAAAUAGGCUCCUGUAGAUUAUAACAAGCUAUUAAAAGAGCAGGAGAUAAGACAUUUUAAAUUAAGCAUAAUUUGCACUAAAGGAAGUGUAAACAGUAGUUGACUCUUUACAGGAAGUGUUUAGGAAGGAUGUAUAGGUCACAUGCAGCGUGGUGUGCCUAAGGCUAUAUAAACAAAGUGAUUUAACUCCUAAAUGGCAGAGAAUUGAGCAGUGAGUCUGCAAAGGCAUGAUUUAUACACAAAAAUGACUUAAUUAAGCUAAAAUUGUUUUGGUGACUCUAGAGUCCCUUUAAUGAGGUUUUGAUUUUGUCUGAUUCCCAUAGAUGACCAUAUGCUCACUCUGUGCACAUUACAUUUCCAUAAGUGAAAAGUUACGCUACCCCCUCCUGCAUUUAAAGAGGAACUGUGUUUGAUUUUAGCACAACAAAAAGGUAAACAUUUUCCAAAAUGUUUUAUAUUUCCAAGACUGGGCAUAGACGUAAAUUGGUGAAAGGUUAACUGGUAUAGGUAUGCAAUAUUUAAGCAUGUGGCACUGCUGGA
Molecule: non-coding RNA, 542 nt
Organism: Pelobates cultripes (western spadefoot toad)
Lineage: Eukaryota; Metazoa; Chordata; Amphibia; Anura; Pelobatidae
Source: the annotation of a GenBank genome assembly